Molecule: ribosomal RNA, 253 nt
Filed under: uncultured bacterium
Lineage: Bacteria
Description: partial 16S ribosomal RNA
Rfam family: Bacterial small subunit ribosomal RNA
Source: RNAcentral
UACGUAGGGGGCGAGCGUUGUCCGGAAUUAUUGGGCGUAAAGAGCGUGUAGGCGGUUCGGUAAGUCUGCCGUGAAAACCUGGGGCUCAACCCCGGGCGUGCGGUGGAUACUGCCGGGCUAGAGGGUGGUAGAGGCGAGUGGAAUUCCCGGUGUAGCGGUGAAAUGCGCAGAUAUCGGGAGGAACACCAGUAGCGAAGGCGGCUCGCUGGGCCAUUCCUGACGCUGAGGCGCGAAAGCUAGGGGAGCGAACAGG